Molecule: ribosomal RNA, 419 nt
Filed under: bacterium
Lineage: Bacteria
Description: partial 16S ribosomal RNA
Rfam family: Bacterial small subunit ribosomal RNA
Source: RNAcentral
UGGGGGAUAUUGCACAAUGGGCGAAAGCCUGAUGCAGCGACGCCGCGUGGGGGAUGAAGGCCUUCGGGUUGUAAACUUCUUUUGCUCUGAACAAGGCAUGCUAAUGGGUGUGUUGAGUGUAGGGGUUGAUUAGCGCCGGCUAACUACGUGCCAGCAGCCGCGGUAAUACGUAGGGCGCGAGCGUUGUCCGGAAUUAUUGGGCGUAAAGGGCUUGUAGGUGGCUGGUUGCGUCUGUCGUGAAAGCUCAUGGCUUAACUGUGGGUUUGCGGUGGGUACGGGCUGGCUUGAGUGCAGUAGGGGAGGCUGGAAUUCCUGGUGUAGCGGUGGAAUGCGCAGAUAUCAGGAGGAAUACCGGUGGCGAAGGCGGGUCUCAGGGCUGUUACUGACACUGAGGAGCGAAAGCAUGGGGAGCGAACAGG